CUUCCAUGGCAGAGUACUGCAGCUCACCGGGACGGUCCGCCUCCACGGCGUGACCGACCUCCCCUACCAAGAGCAGGCUGACGUCCCUACCUACGCGAUGGAAGUCGUCGUCCAAGACGAGGCUGCGGGCGUGAGCACAGCGACACAGGAUCCACCGCGCGGCGCGGCGCCUGCCGAAAGGGUGGCCGCUGCACCUGUGUUGCAGCACCCUGUUCGGCCACCACGUCGACAGCGACCGCGACGGGUGGAUACCCUGA
Molecule: long non-coding RNA, 257 nt
Filed under: Dermacentor andersoni
Lineage: Eukaryota; Metazoa; Arthropoda; Arachnida; Ixodida; Ixodidae
Description: uncharacterized LOC126518628
Source: RNAcentral